Molecule: non-coding RNA, 436 nt
Organism: Hydra vulgaris (swiftwater hydra)
Lineage: Eukaryota; Metazoa; Cnidaria; Hydrozoa; Anthoathecata; Hydridae
Source: RefSeq, a predicted model, not a curated record
GUAGGUACGCCGAUAUCCGCGUUUUACGGAACCGAUAAAUGUGCUAAAAUUCUGUGCCACGCUUUUUGAAGUUCACAUUUGGAGAGAUUUUUUAAAUAUUAAACUAAUAUAUCUCAUGGUUAUUACUUAAUAUGGAAAUAUUUUGACUUGCAAAAUUCGUACCAGUUAUUCUGAGUGGCAAACAGGUACUGUUAUUGUAAGUGUCAAAGUGAGUGGUAAGGAUCAUUUAACUUUUUUUUUAGUGAUAUACAUAUUUAAGACAAAUAAACUUGGAAUCUAUUAUUUAAAUAUUAUUUUUUUGAUUUGUUUUACAUUUCUAAAUUUAUUAAGAAACUCAUCAGUUGUAACUAUUUAAUGCUUUAAUGGUAUAAUGGGUCGACACAUAUUUAAAGGAGAAUUCAAAAAACAUUUAAUUAGUAAUUUUACAUUGCCAUCU